Molecule: transfer RNA, 77 nt
Filed under: Candidatus Peregrinibacteria bacterium RIFOXYA2_FULL_41_18
Lineage: Bacteria; Candidatus Peregrinibacteriota
Also listed under: 4 other names
Description: tRNA-Ile
Rfam family: tRNA
About the family: Transfer RNA (tRNA) molecules are approximately 80 nucleotides in length. Their secondary structure includes four short double-helical elements and three loops (D, anti-codon, and T loops).
Source: RNAcentral
GGGCGAGUAGCUCAGCUGGUUAGAGCGCGUCGCUGAUAACGACGAGGUCAGUGGUUCGAGUCCACUCCCGCCCACCA